UUCACCUGAAAGGCAAAAUAUUAGCAAAUAGUAGUAGAAACUACCUUUGUAGGUGGAUAAAUCGUGUGCAGAUGUUAUGCUGAAAGGAUGAGUCAAUAAAAUUUGGAUGAGUCCAGAACAGGUCAGAGGGGCUUUCUCUUAGUGGAUAUGUUUACAGAAAAAAUCAAGAAAAUAUGCCUGCAUAGUCUAGUAAAAGAAAACAGAAUACAAAUGAAAAAUGUUAUCAUUUCUACUAGACGUAGUAAAGCAGAUUCUUCAGAGGAACCAGGAAAAAAGGAAUGUUAAUUAAAGGAGAGAGCAAGCUCACCCAGUUUGUUCCAGAAAAUGCUUUGGCUUUUUCAUUUUAGUUAAUUUCUUUCUAUUAGGAGCAGCUCUAGGUAACGAACGACAAAGAAACACAGUGAUGCGCUCUUGGCAGUGACUCAGCACAGAAACCCUUACAGGAUAUUCCAUGAAAACAGGCAGAGAUUUCUUUCCAGUCUGACAUGAGAUGGUCCACAGAAAGUAGGCGUUGCUCAGUACCUGCUGUUGGUUAUCUUUUUGUCAUGCAAAUAACUUUACAAAAAAAACAGAGAUUUAAAAUGCACAUGUAGGCCUUUUCAAAUGAAAGUGAUUUGGAGACUUCUUCCCAAAUGGCAGCAGGAAGAGUCAUCAGAACUCAGUCAAAAGAAUGGCGUUUACAUGUUGCUUGGCCUUGCACAGUGCACACUGAGGGUUUACAGAGAGUAAAUGGAGAUAUUUAGACUUCACCCACAUUGCUCCUUUGAACCAUGUGAAGAGAAACAGGCAAAGGAGAGAGACAGGAGUCUGCUGUACAAUGUAAAAGGACAGAAACUACAGAUACAUCAUCAUAUUUCCUUUCCAUGUUCUCUAGCUAUUUUCAGGCAGCUGUGCAAAGCAGAUCCAACAGUUCUGCGAUUGCAUACUAGCCAGUGCUAAUGAUAAAGAUAUGGUAGACACAGGACUGAAGCACAGAUGAUUGUACAGUUGCAGGGCCUGAAACCUCCUCUUAUAUCUGUCCCCACUAAAGCUUCCUAACGGUCCACCAGCCCCAGAAAAAUCAUGGAUCUGCUUCAGCAUUUCAGCUCCACCUUCCUUCCUCAACACAGUGUUUCAGAACAUGUUCCAUUCCUUUUGGCUUUUUAUAGCUUUCUUAGAGGCAAUAAACUGAAUUGGAUUUCCUCCUACACGAGAAUCAAUCAAACCUGCAUUUUUAAGCACUCUGGAGCCUGCAGAACUGGAACACAUAGAACAAAAUAUAUCUCACUUUCCUGGGAGGUCAAUACCUCUUAUUUCUGCAGGCUGGAUGUAUCUCUGAGGCUAACAGGGUUUUGUUCUGUCCUGCUGGGUGUGCAAUAUCAUUUGGUCCAACACAGCCUGUACUUUAUUUUUAUUGAGGAUCAGAAUGGGAUUCAUAUAAAUAAACUAUAUUUCUUUUAACCUUCUUGGAACAGGUGCUCAUGAAAGAGUAGAGGCUUUCAUAACAUUUACUCAAAAUAUUUAUUUAAACUUUGGAGGCCUUCAGCACAUACAGUUUUACUGUUAGCAUUUCACAGACAUUAUCUGUAGAUCAACUAUGUUAAUUUUAUCAGUUCACACCAUAUGUAGUAUGAUAUUGGGGAUUUUCCAGGCUGUUGCCCAUUUUUAUGUAUUUUCCUCACUGGUAAAGUCAAAUACUUUUAUUUGUAUGAUUGCCUCCACUAAAAUAUCUGGUUCUUUAUUAAUUGUUUUUCCCAUACAAGGAAAUGUUGAAGGCUUUAACUCUGAGACCAAAAAUGCAGGGAAGGAAAGAGGGUGCCAAUGUUGUGACCCACUUUUUCCUUCACUCCAUUUAUAUUGCUAUCCUCUUAAAUGCAUGAGAAGAGCUAUGCAGCUCUUUCGAAUAAACUCUGUAAACCACAUUCAGAAGCCUGUGGAGUUAACUCUAGACUUCCAUUAGUAUAAAGGAAUUUGGAGCUGAGAGUUCAUGUUGUAUAUAACAUAUGCCCUUCAUAUGAAGAAAAAAAAUCUAGUAUGAUCCCUGCUCAAAAAGGCUGCAAAUGAGAUUCCAGACCACUUUUUGAAAUACAUUUUUGUGUGUCAAUGCUAUUGCUAUUUCUCUGCUGAACAGCAAUUAACAUCUUUUUUCCAAACUUAUUCUGGCAUAUUUUUGCGCCAAAGUGUCCUGGACCCAGUUGAUAUGCAUGAAUCCUCUUAGUCCAAAGGCAAAUACAUUCCAGCAACAGUGAAUUGUUCCUGCAAGGAUUAGAAAUAGGCAAAACAUUCCCACUGUGUUUGAUUCUAGUGCAGCAGACCUUUGGGAAGAAGUGCUCUAUCCAGCUAAUAGUGUACCUCACAAUAGCCCACUUUCUUCGCAGCAGGUUUCUGGCAUGUUUUCCAUAGCCCUAGUCCUUCCUAGGGCAUCACAGGGGACCAAUGUCUCCUUUCUCAUCAAAAUAUAUCCAUUUCUCUGUUGCUCUGCCAUCAGCAAAAGUCUUUCACAAUAUCUUGAAAAUUAGUUUGGAAAGCUUAAAAGUGGCAAAACACACUUCUUAAUGUUUGAAAGGAAACAUUGAGGGUUUCCCAGCUGCAGUUCUAAAUUCACUUUCAUGGGACAGUCCUGCUGAACUUCAGCUGAAGCUAAUGGCCAAAUCACAAAACUAUGUCCAAAGAAUUAGAAAUUUUGUUGCCAUAAAUUCUUGAACAUCUUGCUUUGACACGGCAUUUAAUUUUAAUUACAUUUUCAUUGAACAGUAGGAGUAUACUUCUGCCAAUUUUGAAUUGAAAAUAAAAAGUGAGGAGAAAUCUUCCAAAUGUUUCAGACAGAAGUGUUAAAUGUUGAAGUGUGUUUUUGCAGCAUUACACAGUAACACAAAUAACUGAGAACAUUUCUGACAACUUCAGGUAUAUUUUGGUGAGACAGUUUGACAAAGACAUGAAAAUUUUUCAUAUAUUUGAAAAACUGAAAAUAUGUUUGAAGAGAGAGAGAAACCUCCAAUACAUUUAGUACCUGUAAGAUCUGGGAAAAUCAGAAGAUGAAUAGAAGAACAAAAAUAAUCUCCCUAACAAGGAAAUGCAGUUUAACAUAGUUGGUUUCUACUCUGGUGCAGCAUCCAUUUGAUCAAUGCACUCUGCUACUUCUUGUUUAGUUAAAGAGAAAGAGGAUAACAAAGGAGCUGAUUAUACUGCAGUGAGGAGAGGGAGCUGAGAGAAUGAAGACAUAUAACAUGUCUUCAUUCUACAGGAAUCUAAGGAAUCUAUAGGAAACUAAGCUUUAUCUGUUCAGCUACACAUAAAAUAAUUUUUGUUUGCAAUAUGUUAGGGUUAUUAUUUGCACAGAUAGGUUUAAUGUUUCAUUUCUAAUUUAUUUGUUGAAGUGUGUUGAAGGGUUCAUUCAGUACUAAUAAAAAUACUGCAAUACAGCAUUAACUGCCAAAAUGCUUAUCUGAAAAGGACCUUCCAGUUGCUUUCAGGUAGAAUAUG
Passer domesticus (house sparrow) is the source of this 3462-nucleotide long non-coding RNA. RefSeq lists it as uncharacterized. The transcript has 5 exons. NCBI's taxonomy places the organism in Eukaryota, Metazoa, Chordata, Aves, Passeriformes, Passeridae. The record is from RefSeq and is a predicted model, not a curated record.